AUUGAACGCUGGCGGUAUGCCUAACACAUGCAAGUCGAACGAGUGGCGGACGGGUGAGUAAUGCAUAGGAAUCUACCUUUUAGUCUAGGAUAACUACCCGAAAGGGUGGCUAAUACUGGAUGACAAGUGAUGAGCCCAUGUGGGAUUAGCUAGUUGGUGGGGUAAUGGCUCACAAAGGCGACGAUCUCUAGCUGGUUUGAGAGGUAGAUCAGCCACACUGGGACUGAGACACGGCCCAGACUCCUACGGGAGGCAGCAGUGGGGAAUAUGGCGCAAUGGGGGCAACCCUGACGCAGCCAUGCCGCGUGAGUGAAGAAGGCCUUCGGGUUGUAAAGUUCUUUCGGUAGCGAGACGUUAACUACAGAAGAAGCACCGGCUAACUCCGUGCCAGCCGCCGCGGUAAUAC
This 406-nucleotide ribosomal RNA is filed under the name uncultured bacterium. RNAcentral's name for it is "partial 16S ribosomal RNA". It matches the Rfam family "Bacterial small subunit ribosomal RNA", at positions 30 to 526 of the family's 1533-position model. The record is from RNAcentral.